This 30-nucleotide non-coding RNA is filed under the name Rattus norvegicus (Norway rat). The record is from RNAcentral. Lineage: Eukaryota; Metazoa; Chordata; Mammalia; Rodentia; Muridae.
UGCCUGUUCUCUGUGCUCACGGAUAACAUG